Long non-coding RNA from Helianthus annuus (common sunflower), 1080 nucleotides. RefSeq lists it as uncharacterized. The record is from RefSeq and is a predicted model, not a curated record. NCBI's taxonomy places the organism in Eukaryota, Viridiplantae, Streptophyta, Magnoliopsida, Asterales, Asteraceae. The transcript has 3 exons.
UACCAACCGCCCCUUCUCCUUUGUUUAAAACCUAACCCUAACCCAUAUGAAAGAGAGUCUGGAGAGAGGGGGGGAGAAGAGACGGGAGACAGAGACGGAGAAGUCUCUGGCUUCGACACGCUGGACGCGCCGCACAUAGCUCUCCGGCGUCGACAUGACAGAUGGGUCCGCCGUACAUGGUGGUGGGUUAUGUUGGUUCUCCGGCGUCGGCAACGGUGAAGAGGCAUCCACCGGGCGGAGGCAAUCCGACGUUAUCAACAGGUUAUAUAUUCUUAAUAUCUAUUUCACACUUCCGGUUUGUUAUGAACCCUGAUGCAUACUGUAGUUUUGGUUAUUAACCCUAACAAAGUAACAAAGAAAACCCCUCUUCUUUAGCUUCAAAAUCUUGACUCUUUUAUAUUGAUUAAGCAAGAACAGAACAUGGGCAUAUUAAAUGAGGAUGUUGUGGUGAUAAAAGAAGCAGGAGACAACACUCUGAUCACUGUAAAUUGUCCAGGUAAAACAUGCCUCGGUUGUGAUUUGUGCUGAAUUAUUCUCCUCUUUCGUCUCCGUAUUGCUAGAGGAGGCAUAGACUUAGAAUCAAAGAGGCGAGUAUUCAAAGAAGAGCCAAUCCCACUUACAACAACCACGACGUCGGGGUUGGAUACUGGUUAACACUGGCUUACAAAGUAUAAUAAAACAACACACAAAUAAAAUUUCGGGUUCGUCACGGUCCCGAUUUCUACAACUGCACUUUAAAUAUGGACCUUACUGAAGAUGGGACUAAGAUUGGCACUCUUCAGUUACUUGAAGAUGAUAAGGGUCUGGCGACGGGCCAGUUUGCAGCAAUUUACGAACAAUAGGUUUGUAUGGGCCAUGUGUGAUCUUGGAAUCAUGGGACGAUAAUGGGUUUCCUAUAUGUGAAAAGGCCUGCGGAAUUGCAAACUCGGAAGAUAAAUCUAAGAUGGGUAAACCCGUCAAGAUUAAGCCAAAACCUGAUGAUUGUUUGAGGAAUUCAGUUAUAAUGAUAUGAGAUUAGUUUAGAAUUAUAUUUUGGUGUAUAUGUGUAAGCGGUAUGCAUUUUUUGGUAUGUUGGAAUAA